RNAcentral lists this long non-coding RNA (1159 nucleotides) under Elaeis guineensis (African oil palm). RNAcentral's name for it is "long non-coding RNA (EGUI_LNC021801)". Lineage: Eukaryota; Viridiplantae; Streptophyta; Magnoliopsida; Arecales; Arecaceae. The record is from RNAcentral.
GGGUGGAGAGAGAGAGAGAGAGAGGAGAAGAAGAGAGGAGAGGGUGUGUGGAUGGUGGGGUAGAGAGAGAGAAAAGAAAAAGAAGAGAGAAGAGGAGGAGAGAAGAAAUACGGUGAGAGAGGUGGAGAGAGAGAGAGAGGAGGAUGUGGUUCUUCUCAACAUUCGGGAUGGGGGGGAUUAUCAGAGGAGGAAGGGGAUCAGGAUGGGGGGGGUUGUCGGAGGAGGAAGAGGAUUGGGAUGGGGGGCUUGUCGAAGGAGGAAGAGGAUCGGGAUGAGGGGCUGUUCUCGGAGGAGGAAAUCGAUCAGCAUGGGGGGGUUCUUGGAGAGGGAAGGGGACCGGUUGGGGGCGUUCUCAGAAGAGAAAGACAAUCGAGAUGGGGGGUUCUCGGAGGGGGAAGGCGACUGGGAAGGGAAGGUUUCUCAGAGGGCGAAGGGGACCGAGAUGGGGGGGUUGUUGGAGGAGGGAGACCAAGAUGGGGGGUUUGUUGGAGGAGAAAGGAGAUUGAGAUGAGUGGAGAGAGAGAGAGAGAGGAAAAGAAAAUAAUAGUGGUGGGAAGAAGAGAAGAGAGAAGAGNNNNNNNNNNNNNNNNNNNNGAGAUGAGUGGAGAGAGAGAGAGAGAGGAAAGAAAAAUAAUAUGGUGGGAGAAGAGACAGAGAGAAGAGGAGAAGAAUAGGGUGUGAAUGCUAGGGUGGAGAGAGAGGGGAAAAGAAAAGAAGAGAGAAGGGGUAGGAGAGGAGGAUGCAAAUGGUCAAACCAAAGCGAUAGUGAGAUGGAAAAGGAUAAUGGUGGUUAGAGAUGGAAGGUGGUGGUGAUUGAGAGGUAGGAAAGGGAGUCAUAUUAAUGACUCAUUUGGUUUAUGAAAAAUGAAGGAGGAAAGAGGCAAUUCUUAAGAAAUAGAAUGAAAGCCUCUUAUUUGGUUAGAGUUUUAAGAGGACAAAGAAUGAAAAAAAGCUUUUCUUAUGAUAAGAUGCUUUCUAUAUUUCAUGAAAAAUGAAUAUCCAUGAAGGAGAUGGGCUUUGGAACCUUCCAUGGGAUAGAAAGUGAUAAUACUUUUUUUCUUUCCAAAAAUACCUUUUUAAGAUCCAUGACUAAGAUUUUGUAAAAUAUCAAUGGAUGGUUAGGAUAAAAUAAUGAAUAGUGAUAUAUGUCAAUGUCUUC